CUCUCCUCCUGCCCUUCCCCUGGCUCAUGCUCUUUCCCUUUCUCUCUGUCAAAUAAGUAAAAUCUUUAAAAAAGAACUCAAGGACCUUGGCCACAGGUCUGCUCCCCAGACCCUCACAUCUGUACGUGCAUUGGCCUGAGCGUUCCCCGUGCUCCUAGCGCAGCCCGUGAGUCUCUUCUGACCUUUGAGCCCAUUACCACGGUGCAAGGAAGUCCCUGGCAGGGCCUCGCGGAGACUCUGGCCAAAAUCUCUGCUGCCAAUCGAUCAGCCCACAGAAGCGAAGAGCCUUCAGGAUUCCAGCCUCUGCUCGCAAGUCUUCCAGCUGAGGCCCCAGGCCUGCAGACUCUGAAUCGUCCCAGAGAACACCAACCCACCUCCCCACCCCAGUUUUGCCUUCAUUUGCACACUCCUGAUCAG
Ailuropoda melanoleuca (giant panda) is the source of this 417-nucleotide long non-coding RNA. RefSeq lists it as uncharacterized. NCBI's taxonomy places the organism in Eukaryota, Metazoa, Chordata, Mammalia, Carnivora, Ursidae. The record is from RefSeq and is a predicted model, not a curated record. The transcript has 3 exons.